GGUGGGUUCAUCUAACGGUUAGGAUACAUGCCUCUCACGCAUGGUAUACGAGUUCGAUUCUCGUACCCACUA
RNAcentral lists this transfer RNA (72 nucleotides) under Escherichia coli. RNAcentral's name for it is "tRNA-Glu". It matches the Rfam family "tRNA". Rfam says of the family: Transfer RNA (tRNA) molecules are approximately 80 nucleotides in length. Their secondary structure includes four short double-helical elements and three loops (D, anti-codon, and T loops). Further hydrogen bonds mediate the characteristic L-shaped molecular structure. tRNAs have two regions of fundamental functional importance: the anti-codon, which is responsible for specific mRNA codon recognition, and the 3' end, to which the tRNAs corresponding amino acid is attached (by aminoacyl-tRNA synthetases). tRNAs cope with the degeneracy of the genetic code in two manners: having more than one tRNA (with a specific anti-codon) for a particular amino acid; and 'wobble' base-pairing, i.e. permitting non-standard base-pairing at the 3rd anti-codon position. RNAcentral also lists the same sequence under 11 other names. The record is from RNAcentral. Lineage: Bacteria; Pseudomonadati; Pseudomonadota; Gammaproteobacteria; Enterobacterales; Enterobacteriaceae.